CCUACGGGGGGCUGCAGUGGGGAAUAUUGCACAAUGGGCGAAAGCCUGAUGCAGCGACGCCGCGUGAGCGAAGAAGGCCUUCGGGUCUGAAAGCCCUGUCCUAUGGGAAGAAAGAUGACGGUACCAUAGGAGGAAGCCCCGGCUAACUACGUGCCAGCAGCCGCGGUAAGACGUAGGGGGCGAGCGUUGUCCGGAAUGACUGGGCGUAAAGGGUACGUAGGCGGCUAGAUAAGUCAGAUGUGAAAGGCAUAGGCUUAACCUGUGUAAGCAGUUGAAACUGUCUAGCUUGAAUCAAGGAGAGUAAAGUGGAAUUCCUGGUGUUGCGGUGCAAUGCGUAGAUAUCAGGAGGAAUACCAGUGGCGAAGCCGACUUUCUGGCCUUAGCCUGACGCUGAGGUACGAAAGCGUGGGGAGCCAACAGGCUUAGAUACCCGGGUAGUC
RNAcentral lists this ribosomal RNA (440 nucleotides) under uncultured bacterium. Its description in RNAcentral is "bacterial SSU rRNA". It matches the Rfam family "Bacterial small subunit ribosomal RNA", at positions 338 to 795 of the family's 1533-position model. The record is from RNAcentral.